This 253-nucleotide ribosomal RNA is filed under the name uncultured bacterium. RNAcentral describes it as "partial 16S ribosomal RNA". It matches the Rfam family "Bacterial small subunit ribosomal RNA", at positions 524 to 776 of the family's 1533-position model. The record is from RNAcentral.
UACGUAGGGGGCAAGCGUUGUCCGGAUUUAUUGGGCGUAAAGAGCGUGUAGGCGGCCAGGUAGGUCCGCUGUGAAAACUCGAGGCUCAACCUCGAGAUGUCGGCGGAAACCAUCUGGCUAGAGUCCGGAAGAGGAGAGUGGAAUUCCUGGUGUAGCGGUGAAAUGCGCAGAUAUCUGGAGGAACACCGGUGGCGAAGGCGGCAUCCUGGACCAUUACUGACACUGAAAAGCGAAAGCCAGGGGAGCAAACGGG